RNAcentral lists this ribosomal RNA (216 nucleotides) under bacterium enrichment culture clone ALO1_GLFRUDD03GFUHT. RNAcentral's name for it is "partial 16S ribosomal RNA". It matches the Rfam family "Bacterial small subunit ribosomal RNA", at positions 9 to 219 of the family's 1533-position model. The record is from RNAcentral.
GAGUUUGAUCUUGGCUCAGAUUGAACGCUGGCGGCAUGCCUUACACAUGCAAGUCGAACGGCAGCACGGGAGCUUGCUCCUGGUGGCGAGUGGCGAACGGGUGAGUAAUGCAUCGGAACGUACUCCGUGGAGGUGGGGAUAACGUAGACGUAAAGUUACGACUAAUACCGCAUUAUUCUGUGAGCGAAGGAAAGGCCGGGGUACCGUUCGGGCCUC